This 790-nucleotide ribosomal RNA is filed under the name uncultured archaeon. RNAcentral describes it as "bacterial SSU rRNA". It matches the Rfam family "Archaeal small subunit ribosomal RNA", at positions 85 to 876 of the family's 1478-position model. The record is from RNAcentral.
ACUGCUCAGUAACACGUGGAUAACCUGCCCUCAGGUCUGGCAUAACCCCGGGAAACUGGGGAUAAUUCCGGAUAACGCAUAUGUGCUGGAAUGCUUUAUGCGUCAAAGGUCCUCCGCCUGAGGAUGGGUCUGCGGCCUAUCAGGUAGUAGCGGGUGUAAUGUACCUGCUAGCCGACGACGGGUACGGGUUGUGAGAGCAAGAGCCCGGAGAUGGAUUCUGAGACAUGAAUCCAGGCCCUACGGGGCGCAGCAGGCGCGAAAACUUUACAAUGCGGGAAACCGUGAUAAGGGGACACCGAGUGCCAGCAACAUUUGCUGGCUGUCCACGUGCGUAAAAUGCACGUGUUAGCAAGGGCCGGGCAAGACCGGUGCCAGCCGCCGCGGUAACACCGGCGGCCCGAGUGGUGAUCGUUAUUAUUGGGUCUAAAGGGUCCGUAGCCGGUUUGGUCAGUCUUCCGGGAAAUCUGUCAGCUUAACUGAUAGGCUAUCGGGGGAUACUGCUAGACUUGGAACCGGGAGAGGUAAGAGGUACUACAGGGGUAGGAGUGAAAUCUUGUAAUCCCUGUGGGACCACCUGUGGCGAAGGCGUCUUACCAGAACGGGUUCGACGGUGAGGGACGAAAGCUGGGGGCACGAACCGGAUUAGAUACCCGGGUAGUCCCAGCCGUAAACGAUGCUCGCUAGGUGUCAUGCAUGGUGCGACCGUGUAUGGUGCCGUAGGGAAGCCGUGAAGCGAGCCACCUGGGAAGUACGGCCGCAAGGCUGAAACUUAAAGGAAUUGGCGGGGGAG